AAAGGACAUCACAUCGGUCAUACUGACGUUUGGCUGUUGUCAGCGUUGCAGAUUCGUGACAUUUUGAUCCCUUUCUAUUUUUAACUUACACACUUUGCGUCUACAACCUACAUUUCUAUUAAUAGCUCACUGCGCACUUUUUUACUAAGGCAUCUGCGUCUAUUCAUAGAUCUCGGUUUGAAAAAAAGAUAAAGCGUGUUGUGCCACGUGUCUGGGACGUGUGACGUGUUGUCCCCCUCCCUCUAUUUAAAUACCUGUGAAAGAAAAAGCGGUUGCGCAGAGACUGUGGGGUGGAAAAAAUUAGAGCGAUGGAAUGCGGUCCUACAAAGUUUGCGCUUUGUAAUGACACACCUGCAGCGGACAAUCCCUGGCAGUGACAAAUCAUGACAUGCACGUACUUGUGCAUACUCCGUUUAUUUCCUUUUGGCUGCUAACUUUCUUUGACGAAAUUGGAAAAUGGCUCCUCAAAACUAGAUUUACCAGAGAGGACUGUUCGGUUACUAAAACAAAAAAGCUAUUCCACAAAAAAAAGAAGAAAAAAAAGUAGUCCAGCACUUUAAUAUAACCAUUCUUAUAGUCACGCAUGUCCACGAUGUUGUAAAUCGUUCAUGUGAAAACUUGGAAAUUCUAAUUAUCACUUUACAGUCACUUGCUCAGGGGCGCGCCUUUUCCCCCUCGAGGGUUUUCACGAGGGAUGAAGGGUCUGUCUCUAUCCCUGCCAAGUCAAGCCCACUUGGUCACACCCUUCCCGGCCAACCCCCAACCCCUACACCCCACCUCCUGCUCUGCCCGCCAUGUUCUGUAGGAGGAGGAGAUACGUGUAGUCCUGGCUUUAGCUGGCUUAGCACUAGCAGCAUAUAGCUAGGCGGAGGCGCAACAAGCUCCUUGAACGCCCAAAUAAGUACUCCUGUCUCGGUUUCCCCCUUCUCUUUUUGGAAUUAGCUACGUUUUUUAUUGGUUUGACUUCCACUUGGAGUGACACGAGUACCUAAAGUAUCCCUCUCAAAAAUUCUG
Molecule: long non-coding RNA, 1014 nt
Organism: Astatotilapia calliptera (eastern happy)
Lineage: Eukaryota; Metazoa; Chordata; Actinopteri; Cichliformes; Cichlidae
Source: Ensembl